CCUGGCGGCCGUAGCGCGGUGGUCCCACCUGACCCCAUGCCGAACUCAGAAGUGAAACGCCGUAGCGCCGAUGGUAGUGUGGGGUCUCCCCAUCCGAGAGUAGGGAACUGCCAGGC
Molecule: ribosomal RNA, 116 nt
Filed under: Escherichia coli
Lineage: Bacteria; Pseudomonadati; Pseudomonadota; Gammaproteobacteria; Enterobacterales; Enterobacteriaceae
Source: RNAcentral